AUCAAAUUGUUUUGCUUUUAUUCUUAUUUAACAUCAAUAUUUGUGUAUCUUGUUGCGCAUACAAACAUUGUUAUCUGUUAUUUGUUCAAUAAGGCCAUUUGUACACAUAACAUGAUAGCAUAUUGCCAUUCAAGACCCCUGAAUCCGUAGUUAGAUUAUCUUGAUGCUAGUGGUAAAUUAGUGUCCUACUAAAGAGAUAUAUAAUCUAACUUAAAUAGACCACAUGGUUAAAUUUAUUGGUUAGAAUUGAGUCUUUCUAACUUUUAAUGUUGUUAGUACACUAAAUUCUAGGAGCAUCUCCGAGGUUA
Molecule: long non-coding RNA, 308 nt
Filed under: Carica papaya (papaya)
Lineage: Eukaryota; Viridiplantae; Streptophyta; Magnoliopsida; Brassicales; Caricaceae
Description: long non-coding RNA (CPAP_LNC006766)
Source: RNAcentral